UACGUAGGGACCAAGCGUUGUUCGGAUUUACUGGGCGUAAAGGGCGCGUAGGCGGCGCGGUAAGUCACUUGUGAAAUCUCUGAGCUUAACUCAGAACGGCCAAGUGAUACUGCAGUGCUAGAGUGUGGAAGGGGCAAUCGGAAUUCUUGGUGUAGCGGUGAAAUGCGUAGAUAUCAAGAGGAACACCUGGGGUGAAGACGGGUUGCUGGGCCAACACUGACGCUGAUGCGCGAAAGCCAGGGGAGCAAACGGG
Molecule: ribosomal RNA, 253 nt
Filed under: uncultured bacterium
Lineage: Bacteria
Description: partial 16S ribosomal RNA
Rfam family: Bacterial small subunit ribosomal RNA
Source: RNAcentral